This 744-nucleotide ribosomal RNA is filed under the name uncultured archaeon. RNAcentral's name for it is "bacterial SSU rRNA". It matches the Rfam family "Archaeal small subunit ribosomal RNA", at positions 137 to 879 of the family's 1478-position model. The record is from RNAcentral.
AAACUGGGGAUAAAUCCCGGAUAGAUNCAUGGAUGCUGGAAUGCNCCUUGAUUUAAAGCUCCGGCGCCCCAAGGAUGGNUCUGCGGCCUAUCAGGUUGUAGUGGGUGUAACGUACCUACUAGCCGACGACGGGUACGGGUUGUGAGAGCAAGAGCCCGGAGAUGGAUUCUGAGACACGAAUCCAGGCCCUAUGGGGUGCAGCAGGCGCGAAACCUUUACAAUGUGCGAAAGCAUGAUAAGGGAACUCCGAGUGCCAGCAUCUAAUGCUGGCUGUCCUUGUGCCUAAAACGCACAAGAUAGCAAGGGCCGGGUAAGACCGGUGCCAGCCGCCGCGGUAACACCGGCGGCCCGAGUGGUAGCCGCUAUUAUUGGGUCUAAAGGGUCCGUAGCCGGUUCGAUAAGUCCUCUGGGAAAUCUGGUUGCUUAACAAUCAGACUGCCAAGGGAUACUGUCGAACUUGAGACCGGGAGAGGUAAGAGGUACUUCAGGGGUAGGAGUGAAAUCUUGUAAUCCCUGGGGGACCAUCUGUGGCGAAGGCGUCUUACCAGAACGGGUCUGACGGUGAGGGACGAAAGCUGGGGGCGCAAACCGGAUUAGAUACCCGGGUAGUCCCAGCCGUAAACGAUGCUCGCUAUGUGUCAGGUACGGUGUGACCGUAUCUGGUGCCGUAGGGAAGCCGUGAAGCGAGCCACCUGGGAAGUAUGGUCGCAAGACUGAAACUUAAAGGAAUUGGCGGGGGAGCAC